GAUGAACGCUAGCGGCAGGCUUAAUACAUGCAAGUCGUGGGGCAGCAUGAGUAGCAAUACUUGAUGGCGACCGGCAAACGGGUGAGGAACACGUACACAACCUUCCCUUCAAGCGGGGAAUAGCCCAGAGAAAUUUGGAUUAAUACCCCAUAAUAUAUUUGAUAAGGCAUCUUAUUAAUAUUAAAGCUUCGGCACUUGAUGAUGGGUGUGCGGCUGAUUAGAUAGUUGGCGGGGUAACGGCCCACCAAGUCUACGAUCAGUAGCUGAUGUGAGAGCAUGAUCAGCCACACGGGCACUGAGACACGGGCCCGACUCCUACGGGAGGCAGCAGUAAGGAUAUUGGACAAUGGACGAAAGUCUGAUCCAGCCAUGCCGCGUGAAGGAUUAAGGUCCU
This 394-nucleotide ribosomal RNA is filed under the name uncultured bacterium. RNAcentral describes it as "bacterial SSU rRNA". It matches the Rfam family "Bacterial small subunit ribosomal RNA", at positions 28 to 418 of the family's 1533-position model. The record is from RNAcentral.